This 873-nucleotide long non-coding RNA is filed under the name Fragaria vesca (wild strawberry). RNAcentral's name for it is "long non-coding RNA (FVES_LNC004779)". Lineage: Eukaryota; Viridiplantae; Streptophyta; Magnoliopsida; Rosales; Rosaceae. The record is from RNAcentral.
AAAUGGUCCGAAAUGUAACUUUCAGAAUUUGACUUCUUCUUGAUAUCAAGUCAUCACUUGACAGAGGAAUUGGAUAGAGAUUGGAGGUUUGGACAUGCGCAGCUGAUGAAAAUUGGGAGUUGAGAAGUGUUUUUGAUGAAUUAAAAAAAAAAUUAACAUGAUGAUCGAUCUAAAGUUGAUGGGUAAACUGAAAUUAGUCUUUUAAUUAAUUAAGAAACUAAUUUAUUUAACUUAUGCAUGUUAUCUAUCUGGGUAGUGUCAGUAGUGUGAGUAGUGUUAGCUGCCAAUUUAUUUAUGAGAAUGCCAGCUGGGGAAUGAGGAUGCUGUUUGUUUAUGGGCGUCUGUAAGCGGCACCAUCUGGUAUCUAGUGCCUCGUCCCACACCUAACUUUUACAGUUUUACGUGAUGUUCUAUGUUCUAUUUCCAUCACCGAUAUUUCUUAAGAGCGCGUUUCCAACCAUGACGUCUCAUGUGGAGGUGUUAAUUAACCUCAUUUUAGCACCUUCUUCUUGCGCUAUUCAUACACCCAAUGCUCAGCACUUGCAUUGAAGUCUCAUAUGGUGUUUUGUGUGUUAUAUUCAAUAUUGAUCCUUGAUUAAGAUAUAAUAAAAGUAUAAUUUUUAUAAUAUGAAAAUAAAAAUAUGUAGGCCCAAAACCAUCUUGUGUGACAUGAGCGUAGGGAGAGGAACCCUUCUCAUACAUACUCUUUAUUUGAUUAGUUAAAUGGUCUAUAUAGAAAUAUAAAUUACCCUCUUUGUCAAGUUCCUAUAAAUAACAUUAUUUUCAUUUCAAGUGAUAAUGUUUAAUAAAUUCCUUCUCAGUUUCUAUAUGCAAAAGAAAGAGGAAUUCAUAAUCAAUAUUCUCUAAUGAGUC